RNAcentral lists this non-coding RNA (32 nucleotides) under Schistosoma curassoni. The record is from RNAcentral. Lineage: Eukaryota; Metazoa; Platyhelminthes; Trematoda; Strigeidida; Schistosomatidae.
UGACGAGUUCCAAAUAGGACGAAACGCGCGUC